GUGCUCGCUUGGACAGCACUUAAGUGGAACAAUACAGAGAUUAGCAUGGCCCCUGUGCAAGGAUGAAAUGCAAAUUCAUGAAGUGUUCUAUAUUUUU
RNAcentral lists this small nuclear RNA (97 nucleotides) under Neogale vison (American mink). The record is from RNAcentral. Lineage: Eukaryota; Metazoa; Chordata; Mammalia; Carnivora; Mustelidae.